Molecule: ribosomal RNA, 584 nt
Filed under: Candida tropicalis
Lineage: Eukaryota; Fungi; Ascomycota; Pichiomycetes; Serinales; Debaryomycetaceae
Description: eukaryotic LSU rRNA
Rfam family: Eukaryotic large subunit ribosomal RNA
Source: RNAcentral
CCCUGAUGCCUUAGUAGCGGCGAGUGAAGCGGCAAAAGCUCAAAUUUGAAAUCUGGCUCUUUCAGAGUCCGAGUUGUAAUUUGAAGAAGGUAUCUUUGGGUCUGGCUCUUGUCUAUGUUUCUUGGAACAGAACGUCACAGAGGGUGAGAAUCCCGUGCGAUGAGAUGAUCCAGGCCUAUGUAAAGUUCCUUCGAAGAGUCGAGUUGUUUGGGAAUGCAGCUCUAAGUGGGUGGUAAAUUCCAUCUAAAGCUAAAUAUUGGCGAGAGACCGAUAGCGAACAAGUACAGUGAUGGAAAGAUGAAAAGAACUUUGAAAAGAGAGUGAAAAAGUACGUGAAAUUGUUGAAAGGGAAGGGCUUGAGAUCAGACUUGGUAUUUUGUAUGUUACUUCUUCGGGGGUGGCCUCUACAGUUUAUCGGGCCAGCAUCAGUUUGGGCGGUAGGAGAAUUGCGUUGGAAUGUGGCACGGCUUUGGUUGUGUGUUAUAGCCUUCGUCGAUACUGCCAGCCUAGACUGAGGACUGCGGUUUAUACCUAGGAUGUUGGCAUAAUGAUCUUAAGUCGCCCGUCUUGAAAACACGGGACCA